Molecule: ribosomal RNA, 389 nt
Filed under: Vibrio parahaemolyticus
Lineage: Bacteria; Pseudomonadati; Pseudomonadota; Gammaproteobacteria; Vibrionales; Vibrionaceae
Description: bacterial SSU rRNA
Rfam family: Bacterial small subunit ribosomal RNA
Source: RNAcentral
UCAUGGCUCAGAUUGAACGCUGGCGGCGUGCCUAAUACAUGCAAGUCGAACGAUGAAGCUUCUAGCUUGCUAGAAGUGGAUUAGUGGCGCACGGGUGAGUAAGGUAUAGUUAAUCUGCCCUACACAAGAGGACAACAGUUGGAAACGACUGCUAAUACUCUAUACUCCUGCUUAACACAAGUUGAGCAGGGAAAGUUUUUCGGUGUAGGAUGAGACUAUAUAGUAUCAGCUAGUUGGUAAGGUAAUGGCUUACCAAGGCUAUGACGCUUAACUGGUCUGAGAGGAUGAUCAGUCACACUGGAACUGAGACACGGUCCAGACUCCUACGGGAGGCAGCAGUAGGGAAUAUUGCGCAAUGGGGGAAACCCUGACGCAGCAGCGCCGCGUGG